This 505-nucleotide ribosomal RNA is filed under the name uncultured bacterium. RNAcentral's name for it is "partial 16S ribosomal RNA". It matches the Rfam family "Bacterial small subunit ribosomal RNA", at positions 28 to 507 of the family's 1533-position model. The record is from RNAcentral.
GACGAACGCUGGCGGCGUGCCUAAUACAUGCAAGUAGAACGCACAGUUUAUACCGUAGCUUGCUACACCAUAGACUGUGAGUUGCGAACGGGUGAGUAACGCGUAGGUAACCUGCCUGGUAGCGGGGGAUAACUAUUGGAAACGAUAGCUAAUACCGCAUAAUAUUAAUUAUUGCAUGAUAAUUGAUUGAAAGAUGCAACUGCAUCACUACCAGAUGGACCUGCGUUGUAUUAGCUAGUAGGUGAGGUAACGGCUCACCUAGGCGACGAUACAUAGCCGACCUGAGAGGGUGAUCGGCCACACUGGGACUGAGACACGGCCCAGACUCCUACGGGAGGCAGCAGUAGGGAAUCUUCGGCAAUGGACGAAAGUCUGACCGAGCAACGCCGCGUGAGUGAAGAAGGUCUUCGGAUCGUAAAGCUCUGUUGUAAGAGAAGAACGGGUGUGAGAGUGGAAAGUUCACACUGUGACGGUAUCUUACCAGAAAGGGACGGCUAACUACGUG